UGUGUACCUGUUGUUUCUAGCUCUGUC
This 27-nucleotide non-coding RNA is filed under the name Mus musculus (house mouse). Lineage: Eukaryota; Metazoa; Chordata; Mammalia; Rodentia; Muridae. The record is from RNAcentral.